Molecule: ribosomal RNA, 484 nt
Filed under: uncultured bacterium
Lineage: Bacteria
Description: partial 16S ribosomal RNA
Rfam family: Bacterial small subunit ribosomal RNA
Source: RNAcentral
UUGAACGCUGGCGGCAGGCUUAACACAUGCCAGUCGCGCGGGGGAAGGUAGCUUGCUCCCGGACCUAGCGGCGGACGGGUGAGUAAUGCUUAGGAAUCUGCCUAUUAGUGGGGGACAACAUCUCGAAAGGGAUGCUAAUACCGCAUACGUCCUACGGGAGAAAGCAGGGGAUCUUCGGACCUUGCGCUAAUAGAUGAGCCUAAGUCGGAUUAGCUAGUUGGUGGGGUAAAGGCCUACCAAGGCGACGAUCUGUAGCGGGUCUGAGAGGAUGAUCCGCCACACUGGGACUGAGACACGGCCCAGACUCCUACGGGAGGCAGCAGUGGGGAAUAUUGGACAAUGGGGGGAACCCUGAUCCAGCCAUGCCGCGUGUGUGAAGAAGGCCUUAUGGUUGUAAAGCACUUUAAGCGAGGAGGAGGCUACUUUAGUUAAUACCUAGAGAUAGUGGACGUUACUCGCAGAAUAAGCACCGGCUAACUCUGUG